CCUACGGGAGGCAGCAGUGGGGAAUUUUGGACAAUGGGCGCAAGCCUGAUCCAGCAAUGCCGCGUGCGGGAAGAAGGCCUUCGGGUUGUAAACCGCUUUUGUACGGAACGAAAAGGCUCUGGCUAAUACCUGGGGCUGAUGACGGUACCGUAAGAAUAAGCACCGGCUAACUACGUGCCAGCAGCCGCGGUAAUACGUAGGGUGCGAGCGUUAAUCGGAAUUACUGGGCGUAAAGCGUGCGCAGGCGGUCUUGUAAGACAGAGGUGAAAUCCCUGGGCUCAACCUAGGAAUGGCCUUUGUGACUGCAAGGCUGGAGUGCGGCAGAGGGGGAUGGAAUUCCGCGUGUAGCAGUGAAAUGCGUAGAUAUGCGGAGGAACACCGAUGGCGAAGGCAGUCCCCUGGGCCUGCACUGACGCUCAUGCACGAAAGCGUGGGGAGCAAACAGGAUUAGAUACCCUGGUAGUCCACGCCCUAAACGAUGUCGACUGGUUGUUGGGCCUUAGGUGGCUCAGUAACGAAGCUAACGCGUGAAGUCGACCGCCUGGGGAGUACGGCCGCAAGGUUGAAACUCAAAUGAAUUGACGG
RNAcentral lists this ribosomal RNA (585 nucleotides) under uncultured bacterium. Its description in RNAcentral is "bacterial SSU rRNA". It matches the Rfam family "Bacterial small subunit ribosomal RNA", at positions 338 to 916 of the family's 1533-position model. The record is from RNAcentral.